AAGGCUAAAUACUACUUAGUGACCGAUAGCGCAUAGUACUGUGAAGGAAAGGUGAAAAGGACCCCGGGAGGGGAGUGAAAGAGAACCUGAAACCCUAUGUUUACAAGCUGUGGAACACCGCAAGGUGAACCGCGUACUUUUUGUAGAACGGUCCGGCGAGUUGCAUGUACUGGCAAGGUUAAGCACUAAAGGUGCGAAGCCGAAGAGAGAUCAAGUCUUAAUAGGGCGAAGAAGUCAGUGAAUGCAGACCCGAAACCGGGUGAUCUAUCCAUGUCCAGGUUGAAGUCAACGUAAAAGUUUAUGGAGGACCGAACCCACAUCCGUUGAAAAGGGUGGGGAUGAGGUGUGGAUAGGGGAGAAAUUCCAAUCGAACCCGGAGAUAGCUGGUUCUCCUCGAAAUAGUUUUAGGACUAGCCUUAAUUUAGUCUGAUGGAGGUAGAGCACUGAAUUUUUGCGGGGGCGUCAAAGCUUACCAAUGAAUAUCAAACUGCGAAUGCCAUACAGAUGAUGAUUAGGAGUCAGACUACACGAGAUAAGUUGGGUAGUCGAAAGGGAAAGAGCCCAGAUCUACGGCUAAGGUCCCAAAGUGAGUGUUAAGUGGAAAAGGAUGUAGGAUCUCAUAGACAACUAGGAUGUUGGCUUAGAAGCAGCCAUACAUUAAAAGAGUGCGUAAUAGCUCACUAGUCGAGAGGUUCUGCGCCGAAAAUGUCCGGGGCUAAAACACUACACCGAAGCCAAGGGAUGACGAAAGUCAUCGGUAGAGGAGCAAUCUUACCGACGCAGAAGCCAUACCGAAAGGAGUGGUGGAGAAGUAAGAAGAGAGAAUGCCGGAAUGAGUAGCGAGAGUGAGGUGAGAAUCCUCACGGCCAAAUACCCAAGGAUUCCAGAGUAAAGCUGAUCUGCUCUGGGUAAGUCGGGACCUAAGGCGAGGGAGAGAUCCGUAGUCGAUGGACAUCAGGUAUAGAAUCCUGAACUGCAUAUAAUCAGAAAUGUGGGGACACAGAAACUAAAGUCGAACCCGGGAGAGCAAAGACCGGGAUAAGCGAGGUAGCAGGUGGUAGGAAAAACCGCCACGAAAUGCGAAUGCGUGAUAUGUAGCGAAGAAAAGUAGCGAAGUCGAAUAGGGAGCUGUCAAGAAAAGCCGCUAUAGCGUUAUAUGUACCCGUACCGAAAACCGACACAGGUGGGAGGGGAGAGAAUCCUAAGGCCGGCGGGAGAAGCAUUGUUAAGGAACUCGGCAAAAUGACCCCGUAACUUCGGGAGAAGGGGUACCGAAAGGUCACAGAAAAAAGGCUCAAGCAACUGUUUAGCAAAAACACAGGUCUAUGCGAAACCGAAAGGUGAAGUAUAUGGGCUGACGCCUGCCCGGUGCUGGAAGGUUAAGAGGAGAGGUCAGGCAACGAAGCUUUGAAUCUAAGCCCCAGUAAACGGCGGCCGUAACUAUAACGGUCCUAAGGUAGCGAAAUUCCUUGUCGGGUAAGUUCCGACCCGCACGAAAGGCGUAAUGAUUUGAGCACUGUCUCAACAAUGCACCCGGUGAAAUUGAAGUACCAGUGAAGAUGCUGGUUACCUGCGCCAGGACGGAAAGACCCCAUGGAGCUUUACUCUAGUUUGAUACUGGGGUUUGAUGAUGCAUGUACAGGAUAGGUGGGAGACUGCGAGGCGAGGACGCCAGUUUUCGCGGAGUCACUGUUGGGAUACCACCCUUGUAUCAUUGAAUUUCUAACCCGUGGCCGUAAGCCGGUCAGGGGACAAUGUCAGAUGGGGAGUUUGACUGGGGCGGUCGCCUCCGAAAGAGUAUCGGAGGCGCUCAAAGGUUCCCUCAGAAUGGACGGAAACCAUUCAAAGAGUGCAAAGGCAAAAGGGAGCUUGACUGCGACACUGACGGGUGGAGCAGGUACGAAAGUAGGACUUAGUGAUCCGGUGGUUUUAAGUGGGAAAGCCAUCGCUCAACGGAUAAAAGCUACCCUGGGGAUAACAGGCUUAUCACUCCCAAGAGUUCACAUCGACGGAGUGGUUUGGCACCUCGAUGUCGGCUCAUCGCAUCCUGGGGCUGAAGUCGGUCCCAAGGGUUGGGCUGUUCGCCCAUUAAAGCGGUACGCGAGCUGGGUU
RNAcentral lists this ribosomal RNA (2112 nucleotides) under human oral metagenome. RNAcentral's name for it is "bacterial LSU rRNA". It matches the Rfam family "Bacterial large subunit ribosomal RNA", at positions 462 to 2611 of the family's 2925-position model. The record is from RNAcentral.